UGAGGGAGGUGCUAUACAUGCAGUCGAGCGAACAGAUAAGGAGCUUGCUCCUUUGACGUUAGCGGCGGACGGGUGAGUAACACGUGGGUAACCUACCUAUAAGACUGGGAUAACUUCGGGAAACCGGAGCUAAUACCGGAUAACAUUUGGAACCGCAUGGUUCUAAAGUGAAAGAUGGUUUUGCUAUCACUUAUAGAUGGACCCGCGCCGUAUUAGCUAGUUGGUAAGGUAACGGCUUACCAAGGCAACGAUACGUAGCCGACCUGAGAGGGUGAUCGGCCACACUGGAACUGAGACACGGUCCAGACUCCUACGGGAGGCAGCAGUAGGGAAUCUUCCGCAAUGGGCGAAAGCCUGACGGAGCAACGCCGCGUGAGUGAUGAAGGGUUUCGGCUCGUAAAACUCUGUUAUUAGGGAAGAACAAAUGUGUAAGUAACUGUGCACAUCUUGACGGUACCUAAUCAGAAAGCCACGGCUAACUACGUGCCAGCAGCCGCGGUAAUACGUAGGUGGCAAGCGUUAUCCGGAAUUAUUGGGCGUAAAGCGCGCGUAGGCGGUUUCUUAAGUCUGAUGUGAAAGCCCACGGCUCAACCGUGGAGGGUCAUUGGAAACUGGGAAACUUGAGUGCAGAAGAGGAAAGUGGAAUUCCAUGUGUAGCGGUGAAAUGCGCAGAGAUAUGGAGGAACACCAGUGGCGAAGGCGACUUUCUGGUCUGUAACUGACGCUGAUGUGCGAAAGCGUGGGGAUCAAACAGGAUUAGAUACCCUGGUAGUCCACGCCGUAAACGAUGAGUGCUAAGUGUUAGGGGGUUUCCGCCCCUUAGUGCUGCAGCUAACGCAUUAAGCACUCCGCCUGGGGAGUACGACCGCAAGGUUGAAACUCAAAGGAAUUGACGGGGACCCGCACAAGCGGUGGAGCAUGUGGUUUAAUUCGAAGCAACGCGAAGAACCUUACCAAAUCUUGACAUCCUUUGAAAACUCUAGAGAUAGAGCCUUCCCCUUCGGGGGACAAAGUGACAGGUGGUGCAUGGUUGUCGUCAGCUCGUGUCGUGAGAUGUUGGGUUAAGUCCCGCAACGAGCGCAACCCUUAAGCUUAGUUGCCAUCAUUAAGUUGGGCACUCUAGGUUGACUGCCGGUGACAAACCGGAGGAAGGUGGGGAUGACGUCAAAUCAUCAUGCCCCUUAUGAUUUGGGCUACACACGUGCUACAAUGGACAAUACAAAGGGCAGCUAAACCGCGAGGUCAUGCAAAUCCCAUAAAGUUGUUCUCAGUUCGGAUUGUAGUCUGCAACUCGACUACAUGAAGCUGGAAUCGCUAGUAAUCGUAGAUCAGCAUGCUACGGUGAAUACGUUCCCGGGUCUUGUACACACCGCCCGUCACACCACGAGAGUUUGUAACACCCGAAGCCGGUGGAGUAACCAUUUAUGGAGCUAGCCGUCGAAGUGAUCAA
Molecule: ribosomal RNA, 1450 nt
Filed under: Staphylococcus saprophyticus
Lineage: Bacteria; Bacillati; Bacillota; Bacilli; Caryophanales; Staphylococcaceae
Description: bacterial SSU rRNA
Rfam family: Bacterial small subunit ribosomal RNA
Source: RNAcentral